AAUGUUAUCACGGGAGACACACGGCGGGUGCUAACGUCCGUCGUGAAGAGGGAAACAACCCAGACCGCCAGCUAAGGUCCCAAAGUCAUGGUUAAGUGGGAAACGAUGUGGGAAGGCACAGACAGCCAGGAUGUUGGCUUAGAAGCAGCCAUCAUUUAAAGAAAGCGUAAUAGCUCACUGGUCGAGUCGGCCUGCGCGGAAGAUGUAACGGGGCUAAACCAUGCACCGAAGCUGCGGCAGCGACACUAUGUGUUGUUGGGUAGGGGAGCGUUCUGUAAGCCUGCGAAGGUGUGCUGUGAGGCAUGCUGGAGGUAUCAGAAGUGCGAAUGCUGACAUAAGUAACGAUAAAGCGGGUGAAAAGCCCGCUCGCCGGAAGACCAAGGGUUCCUGUCCAACGUUAAUCGGGGCAGGGUGAGUCGACCCCUAAGGCGAGGCCGAAAGGCGUAGUCGAUGGGAAACAGGUUAAUAUUCCUGUACUUGGUGUUACUGCGAAGGGGGGACGGAGAAGGCUAUGUUAGCCGGGCGACGGUUGUCCCGGUUUAAGCAUGUAGGCUGGUUAUCCAGGCAAAUCCGGAUAAUCAAGGCUGAGGUGUGAUGACGAGGCACUACGGUGCUGAAGUAACAAAUGCCCUGCUUCCAGGAAAAGCCUCUAAGCAUCAGGUAACAUCAAAUCGUACCCCAAACCGACACAGGUGGUCAGGUAGAGAAUACCAAGGCGCUUGAGAGAACUCGGGUGAAGGAACUAGGCAAAAUGGUGCCGUAACUUCGGGAGAAGGCACGCUGGUGUGUAGGUGAAGCCCCUGCGGGUGGAGCUGAGACCAGUCGAAGAUACCAGCUGGCUGCAACUGUUUAUUAAAAACACAGCACUGUGCAAACACGAAAGUGGACGUAUACGGUGUGACGCCUGCCCGGUGCCGGAAGGUUAAUUGAUGGGGUUAUCCGUAAGGAGAAGCUCUUGAUCGAAGCCCCGGUAAACGGCGGCCGUAACUAUAACGGUCCUAAGGUAGCGAAAUUCCUUGUCGGGUAAGUUCCGACCUGCACGAAUGGCGUAAUGAUGGCCAGGCUGUCUCCACCCGAGACUCAGUGAAAUUGAACUCGCUGUGAAGAUGCAGUGUACCCGCGGCAAGACGGAAAGACCCCGUGAACCUUUACUAUAGCUUGACACUGAACAUUGAGCCUUGAUGUGUAGGAUAGGUGGGAGGCUUUGAAGCGUGGACGCCAGUCUGCGUGGAGCCAACCUUGAAAUACCACCCUUUAAUGUUUGAUGUUCUAACGUUGGCCCCUUACCGGGGUUGCGGACAGUGUCUGGUGGGUAGUUUGACUGGGGCGGUCUCCUCCCAAAGCGUAACGGAGGAGCACGAAGGUUAGCUAAUCCUGGUCGGACAUCAGGAGGUUAGUGCAAUGGCAUAAGCUAGCUUGACUGCGAGCGUGACGGCGCGAGCAGGUGCGAAAGCAGGUCAUAGUGAUCCGGUGGUUCUGAAUGGAAGGGCCAUCGCUCAACGGAUAAAAGGUACUCCGGGGAUAACAGGCUGAUACCGCCCAAGAGUUCAUAUCGACGGCGGUGUUUGGCACCUCGAUGUCGGCUCAUCACAUCCUGGGGCUGAAGUAGGUCCCAAGGGUAUGGCUGUUCGCCAUUUAAAGUGGUACGCGAGCUGGGUUUAGAACGUCGUGAGACAGUUCGGUCCCUAUCUGCCGUGGGCGCUGGAGAAUUGAGGGGGGCUGCUCCUAGUACGAGAGGACCGGAGUGGACGCAUCACUGGUGUUCGGGUUGUCAUGCCAAUGGCACUGCCCGGUAGCUAAAUGCGGAAGAGAUAAGUGCUGAAAGCAUCUAAGCACGAAACUUGCCCCGAGAUGAGUUCUCCCUGAGACUUUAAGUCUCCUGAAGGAACGUUGAAGACGACGACGUUGAUAGGCCGGGUGUGUAAGCGCAGCGAUGCGUUGAGCUAACCGGUACUAAUGAACCGUGAGGCUUAACCUU
RNAcentral lists this ribosomal RNA (1978 nucleotides) under Klebsiella pneumoniae UCI 26. RNAcentral describes it as "bacterial LSU rRNA". It matches the Rfam family "Bacterial large subunit ribosomal RNA", at positions 968 to 2925 of the family's 2925-position model. Lineage: Bacteria; Pseudomonadati; Pseudomonadota; Gammaproteobacteria; Enterobacterales; Enterobacteriaceae. The record is from RNAcentral.